AGAUUGAACGCUGGCGGCAUGCCUAACACAUGCAAGUCGAACGAAGGCUUCGGCCUUAGUGGCGCACGGGUGCGUAACGCGUGGGAACCUGCCCCUCGGUUCGGAAUAACAGUUAGAAAUGACUGCUAAUACCGGAUGAUGACUUCGGUCCAAAGAUUUAUCGCCGAGGGAUGGGCCCGCGUAGGAUUAGCUAGUUGGUGGGGUAAAGGCCUACCAAGGCGACGAUCCUUAGCUGGUCUGAGAGGAUGAUCAGCCACACUGGGACUGAGACACGGCCCAGACUCCUACGGGAGGCAGCAGUGGGGAAUAUUGGACAAUGGGCGAAAGCCUGAUCCAGCAAUGCCGCGUGAGUGAUGAAGGCCUUAGGGUUGUAAAGCUCUUUUACCAGGGAUGAUAAUGACAGUACCUGGAGAAUAAGCUCCGGCUAACUCCGUG
RNAcentral lists this ribosomal RNA (435 nucleotides) under uncultured bacterium. RNAcentral describes it as "bacterial SSU rRNA". It matches the Rfam family "Bacterial small subunit ribosomal RNA", at positions 26 to 507 of the family's 1533-position model. The record is from RNAcentral.